AAAAGCUAUGGUCAUUGGCAGACCAGUUUUACUUGCUUUAGAAGAUGUUGAUGGAUCUCCGUCUUUCCUAGAAAAGGCUCUUAGGUAUAUAGAAGAGCACGGAGUCAAGGUGGAAGGAAUUUUACGUCAAGCUGCAGCUGUUGAUGAUGUUGAGCAUCGAAUUCAGGAAUAUGAACAAGGAAAAUCAGAGUUCUCUCCAGAGGAAGAUGCACAUGUGAUUGCUGAUUGUGUCAAGUUUUUCCUCCGUGAGUUGCCAUCCUCUCCAGUCCCUGCAUCUUGCUGCAAAGCACUGCUAGAAGCAUUUCGAAAAGAUCGUGGCAUUCGAGUUAAUGCCAUGCGAGUAGCAAUAUUAGAAACCUUCCCUGAGCCAAACCGUCGCUUAUUACAAAGAAUUCUGUUGAUGAUGCAAACUGUGGCUUCCCACAAAGCUGAGAAUCGAAUGAGCACUUCAGCUGUUGCUGCUUGUAUGGCACCUUUACUUCUGCGUCCCCUUCUAGCUGGUGAGUGUGAAAUUGAAAAUGAUUUUGAUGUGGGAGGUGAUGGUUCUCUUCAACUUCUGCAAGCAGCUGCUGCAGCUAAUCAUGCUCAAGCAAUUGUUAUAAUAUUAUUGGAGGAGUAUGAUAAGAUAUUCAGUGAAGGAAUCAUGUCCCCUGGAUUAUACUCCGACUCAGAUGAGUAUGAAAGUGAGGAUGAGGAGGUAACAGAUGAUGAUGAAUCCUAUGAAGAUGAUGAUGAGGAUGAUGCAUCACAAGAGUCUGAUGCAUAUUCAGAUGAUGAUCUUGGAAAUGCAUCAACUGGAACUGACAGUGGUGAAUCAGAGGACAAUGAUAUAUCUCACAGUAAGGGUGAUGAUCAUAGCCCCGAUUCCAAGUCCACUCAAGUAGAUAAUGAUUGUAGAGUUGAAGAAUUGUCAAAUUCAGUUCAAAUUUCAUUACCCUCACAUCAUGAUGCAGGC
Molecule: unclassified non-coding RNA, 955 nt
Filed under: Hevea brasiliensis (rubber tree)
Lineage: Eukaryota; Viridiplantae; Streptophyta; Magnoliopsida; Malpighiales; Euphorbiaceae
Source: RNAcentral